Molecule: long non-coding RNA, 475 nt
Filed under: Mytilus galloprovincialis (Mediterranean mussel)
Lineage: Eukaryota; Metazoa; Mollusca; Bivalvia; Mytilida; Mytilidae
Source: RNAcentral
GCUGCACAACUUCACAUGGAGUUCCACAUUGUGGUAUAAUUCCAUCAACAUUGGUCCAUUCAAUUCCGAGAAAUAGCGUGGACAAAAUGUGUGGAAGAAUAAAAAUAAUAAGAAAAAAAGAAACGUAGAAUAACAAUAUGUCACCCCAACUCCGUUGAGGGUGCCAUAAUAAUAAGAAAAAAAAGAAACGUAGAAUAACAAUACGUCACCCCAACUCCGUUGAGGGUGCCAUAACUAGAAUUGCUAUUGCAAGCAAUAGCGGAUGUCACCCUUCCCCCCAUUGCCACUAAGCGGCAGCCAUUUCAAAAACUUUUAACAGUGAAUGGACAUAUUUGCAUGGCUAUACAUUUGUCUGUAAAUUUUCAGUGCAUUUAGAUCAUUUUUAAAAACAUGACAUUUUUGCUGUUUCCAUGGCAAUGGCAGCCAUUUUGAAAGUUUCAAAUUCAAAAGUCUCAUCUAUACAUGCCAGUUUACA